UCUGGUUCAGUCUACGCCUUGUAGCUCUGGCAGAGACUGAAGCAUGAGGGUCUCCUUCCCCACCCCACAGUCUGCUCUCUGUUUUCUACAAAUGAAGGAAACAUCUCCUCUGCUUCUGAUAUGAAAGCAAGGAUUUAUAAGAGAAAACGGAAACCUGUCUUCCUCUGAUUGGGAAACCUGUCUUUGUUUUCAUCUACUUCUGCACAACUUUCUCAGCAUCAUAAACCACCUGCUGGAGUGAGCCCUCUGAAGUGACACAGCAGAGAUUUCCUUCCAAAGCGACCCAGCCGCUCCAAAAAGAUUCACUCCCGCAGUGCAGGGUCCCCACGGGACUGGUCUGUCCAAACACAAUGUUUUGAUGCUGUUUGUCCAGGGGUGAUAGUGAAUAAAAACAUUUGAAAAUCUAAGUGUAGGUGGCGGUGAGGGAAUAAAUGUCAAUUCUUGAUCCGUAUCUGCCUUGGAAACAGUUAAAUUUGCAGAGCAGAAUCUCGGCGCUGGUAUUUACUACAAUUCUAAUCUCUCACUAAAAAAAGAUUUUCCCCUACAAUAAAAACUCUUGAAAUUAAAUUUGACACAUUUGAGUCUGAAAUAAACUCCAUUUCAAAUAAAAUUGUAUCUUUGGAACAAUAUACAUCAAAAUACAGAAGAAAAUUGCAGGGAGAUUAUGAUAGGAUUAAGCUAUUUCCUGCGCAGAGCGAUAGCGCUGCAGCCCUGUCAGGAGCACUUCUCCAGGCUAAUGCGUUUGUUCCCCAUAAAGCACAGCUCACGGAGGAUGCUAUUCCCUCUUUAACCUGCCAAGUGGAGUGCUGUUAAAAAAUAAAAAAUAAAAAUGGUGCUGCUAGGAGCUUGGCACUUGAUAUUUCAGCUUAUUUUAGUUUCAUUGAGUUCAGGCGGCCCCUGGUCAGGGUUCCCCUGGUUGGAGAGCAGCCCCCGGGGAUGUCUGUGGGGUUUUGGAUGCUCCUCAAGAUUUUGGGAGAGGGAAAGGUGUUUUAGCCAACUCCGUGAUAGCUCUUUGCUCAACAGGAAGGGUAAGGAAAGCGGAAAGGGAACAUAGCAGUCAUGUCAUGGGUUUGGUGUCACAUAAAAGCCUUCUUCAUCUUGCCAACCACUUCUCCCAUUAAUCCAGAAUAUUUUGCAGCAUCUCACUGCUGGUUUAAGUCCACAAGCAAAAUGUACAUGUAAAACAGAAAUGGAUAUUUUGUUUUUUAAAGAAUUUUGUAGAUUUCCUGUGUCAUACAAACUCUUAGGAACGUAGGAAAUGGCUAGUUUUACAAUAAAAAUUCUCUUCUCAGUGUUUCCAGACCCCAGCAUUAUUUCCCCCAACCUUUUUAAAGGAAGAUACAAUUUCUUUCUGAAGAGAAGGAUGUGUCUGCACGUUGGGACUGUGCAGAGCUGCCGUCCUUAUCCAAGGCAGCUGUGCCAAUAAAAGUUGUGGGCAUGGCUCUGCCCAUGAACACAUGGACACGGGUGGGCAGGAGGUGGCAUUACUAUGGCCAUGCAGGAGGAAACUUCCCCGGUGCAGCUACUUCUACACGCAGCGUGCUCUGCUUGCAGUGGGAGAGCUUUCCUGCUCAAGCCUGGCUUUCAAUUAUUAAUAAGAAUUGGACUUUCUUCUUAAAAGUGAAGACUGUGAUUCAUGUUGAAAUGUUGAAAUCCCUAUUCUGUCUCUGCUCCCAAAAUGUCAAUAUUUUGUGAUGUUUUAUUUUUUGAUAGCAUUAUACAUAUGGCACACCAUUUCGCUGUGAUAAAAAUCUGAGCAUUAUGUCAUUUUUGAUAAAAGGAAAAGAACCAAAGUAUGCUUACUAUAAUUUCUACUUAACUGUUAUUAAGAGACUAAUUACCAUGAACUUUUGUACCAUGAUUUCAUGUAACUUGUUAAAAAAAA
Molecule: long non-coding RNA, 1885 nt
Organism: Oxyura jamaicensis (ruddy duck)
Lineage: Eukaryota; Metazoa; Chordata; Aves; Anseriformes; Anatidae
Exons: 2
Source: RefSeq, a predicted model, not a curated record